GAGUUUGAUCUUGGCUCAGAUUGAACGCUGGCGGCAUGCCUUACACAUGCAAGUCGAACGGCAGCACGGGAGCUUGCUCCUGGUGGCGAGUGGCGAACGGGUGAGUAAUGCAUCGGAACGUAUCCUGGAGUGGGGGAUAACGUAGCGAAAGUUACGCUAAUACCGCAUAUUCUGUGAGCAGGAAAGCGGGGGGACCUUCGGGCCUCGCGCUCUUGGAGCGGCCGAUGUCGGAUUAGCUAGUUGGUGAGGUAAAGGCUCACCAAGGCGACGAUCCGUAGCAGGUCUGAGAGGAUGAUCUGCCACACUGGAACUGAGCACGGUCCAGACUCCUACGGGAGGCAGCAGUGGGGAAUUUUGGACAAUGGGGGCAACCCUGAUCCAGCCAUGCCGCGUGAGUG
Molecule: ribosomal RNA, 398 nt
Filed under: bacterium enrichment culture clone ALO1_GLFRUDD03GIAMV
Lineage: Bacteria
Description: bacterial SSU rRNA
Rfam family: Bacterial small subunit ribosomal RNA
Source: RNAcentral